This 1311-nucleotide long non-coding RNA is filed under the name Felis catus (domestic cat). Its description in RNAcentral is "lncRNA (ENSFCAG00000053838.1)". The record is from RNAcentral. Lineage: Eukaryota; Metazoa; Chordata; Mammalia; Carnivora; Felidae.
GUUCUGCUCCUGAGAAUGAAAUCAGACCUUUAUUGAGCUCAUACUAUGUGUCCGAUCUCAUUCAGUUCUCCAAGGUCAGUGUCACUGCCUGUUCUAUAGUGAUGAAUCUGAAGCAGAGUCCAAAAACUUGUUCAAGGACACUGAACAAAGAAGGCUGCCCGUGGGGAUCUAUAAAGCCCACAGGAGAGUUCUCAGCAAAGACAAGAAAGGGAAGGGUUGGAGGAGAAAAGAAGUCAACUCUCCCAUCCUAUACAAGGUCAGGCUGCUGGGAUUCUUCUCUUACGAGACCUGACGAGCUAUCAAUAGCCUGAAUAUGACAAGGACCCAAGUCACCUCUGCUUGUGGUUAUUUGUCAUCCUCCGUUCCUUGCUGUGGUUGAGGGUUCAUGUAGCACUCCCCCCCUGUGAAACUCAGGCUGCUGAGACAGGGGACCAGCCUCAAAGCAAGAUUUCUCUGCAGGGCCUCUAGCUGCCUGACUUCAGGGCCCCCCUCACCUUGUACUCUGUAUAGAUGUCCCUUGGAGUUGGGCAUUGAGGCAAGACUGUGGCCCUCUUCUUUACUGAUUCAUGCACUCAUUCAUUCAGAAAUAUUAAACACUGGCUAUCGCUUAGGAACUCUACUGAUCUCUGAGGAUGGAGAAGGGGAUAAACCAGGUCAGUCCUAGUUAAUGGUGACAUACUGUCCACACCGGAGCUCUUUGGAAACCUGGGAGUCACUGUUGACUCUUCCUCCCCCUUAGCUACCAACGUGUUCAAACACCAAGCCUUUGAUAUCAAGUUUGCCUUUGAAAUAUUCAUCAUGCUCAUCUCUAUUUCUGCAUCCCAGCUAGCACAGCCCUACUUUAGGUUUCCCAUACCCCUUUUUUUGAUUAUUAUUACCGUUCCCUCAUAACUAGUCUGUCUGAUUUGGUCUCAUCCUCAUUAUUUGCUCCUCCCUACUUGAGCAAGAAAGACUCACCUAAAAUAUAUGUUUAAGUCACUCACUCAAACUUCAAAUGGCUCCCUUUGGCCCAGCUAACAUGGCGUACAAAGUCCAUGUUCAUGCUUUGGCUUUUACCCCUCUCUCCAGCUCUGCCGCCUAGUAGGCUCUUGACCACCAGAGUAAGAUUAUUCAGCCAUAUUGCCUUGGCUGACUCCAUGUCCUCUGGGGGGGCGGGGUGAGUGUGCUGUCUCCUCUGUCUGCACAUCUCUUCUCCCACCUGUCACUUCUCUGACUUUGCUCCCUCCUCCCCACGACCUUUGUAAUUCCUGCAUCAGGCUGAGUCCUCUCCAUUCUUCAAGGCUUACUUUAGGGCCCAACCACUUCAGAAAA